AACGAACGCUGGCGGCAGGCCUAACACAUGCAAGUCGAGCGCGCCCUUCGGGGUGAGCGGCGGACGGGUGAGUAACGCGUGGGAACGUGCCCUUUUCUACGGAAUAGCCUCGGGAAACUGAGAGUAAUACCGUAUACGCCCUUUGGGGGAAAGAUUUAUCGGAAAAGGAUCGGCCCGCGUUGGAUUAGGUAGUUGGUGGGGUAAUGGCCUACCAAGCCGACGAUCCAUAGCUGGCUUGAGAGGAUGAUCAGCCACACUGGGACUGAGACACGGCCCAGACUCCUACGGGAGGCAGCAGUGGGGAAUCUUAGACAAUGGGGGCAACCCUGAUCUAGCCAUGCCGCGUGAGUGAUGAAGGCCUUAGGGUUGUAAAGCUCUUUCAGCUGGGAAGAUAAUGACGGUACCAGCAGAAGAAGCCCCGGCUAACUCCGUG
Molecule: ribosomal RNA, 433 nt
Filed under: uncultured bacterium
Lineage: Bacteria
Description: partial 16S ribosomal RNA
Rfam family: Bacterial small subunit ribosomal RNA
Source: RNAcentral